CUUUAUUAAUUUUUUAUAUAUAAUUUAUAUUAAAUAUAAAAAUAUAUUUUUUAAAUAAAAAGACGAUAAGACCCUAUUAAAUUUUACUUAUAGUUUAACUGGGGAAGUUUUAAAAAUAAAAUUUUUUAUAAAAAUAAAAAUAAAUCUAAUAAAAUUAAAAUUAAAUUAAAUUACUAUAGGGAUAACAGCAUUAUAUUUUUUAAAAGUUCAUAUUAAAAAAAAUGAUUGUGACCUCGAUGUUGAAUUAUAUUUUCUUUAUUAAUGCAAUAAUUAUAAAAGUAGAUCUGUUCGAUCUUUAAAAUAUUACAUGAUUUGAGUUCAAACCGGUGUAAACCAGGUUGGUUUCUAUCUUUUUAUAAAUUCAUAUAUAUAUAUAUAUAUAUAUAAAUUUUUCAAGUACGAAAGGAAAAAAAAAUUUUUAUUUUAAUUAAUUAGCAAUUAAUAUGCAUUAGAUUUAGAAUCUAAAUAAACUAUU
RNAcentral lists this unclassified non-coding RNA (475 nucleotides) under Anelosimus eximius. Its description in RNAcentral is "partial contains tRNA-Leu and 16S ribosomal RNA". The stretch from base 57 to 354 matches the Rfam family "Bacterial large subunit ribosomal RNA", at positions 2074 to 2646 of the family's 2925-position model. The record is from RNAcentral. Lineage: Eukaryota; Metazoa; Arthropoda; Arachnida; Araneae; Theridiidae.